RNAcentral lists this ribosomal RNA (867 nucleotides) under Spooneromyces laeticolor. RNAcentral describes it as "partial large subunit ribosomal RNA". It matches the Rfam family "Eukaryotic large subunit ribosomal RNA", at positions 76 to 961 of the family's 3401-position model. The record is from RNAcentral. Lineage: Eukaryota; Fungi; Ascomycota; Pezizomycetes; Pezizales; Pyronemataceae.
UGCCUUAGUAACUGCGAGUGAAGCGGCAAAAGCUCAAAUUUGAAAUCUAACGUCUUUGGCGUUCGAGUUGUAAUUUGGAGGGGCAUCUUCGGAGUUGGCGCCGUCCUAAGUUCCUUGGAACAGGACGUCAUAGAGGGUGAGAAUCCCGUGCCUGGAUGGCUGUCCAUCUCCAUGUGAAGUGUCUCCGACGAGUCGAGUUGUUUGGGAAUGCAGCUCAAAAUGGGUGGUAAAUUUCAUCUAAAGCUAAAUAUUGGCGAGAGACCGAUAGCGCACAAGUAGAGUGAUCGAAAGAUGAAAAGCACUUUGAAAAGAGAGUUAAAAAGUACGUGAAAUUGUUGAAAGGGAAGCGCUUGAGACCAGACUCAAUCUUUGGUGAUCAGCUGUGCUUCUGUACAGUGCACUUGCCUUUGAUUGGGCCAGCAUCGGUUCUGACGGCGGGAUAAAAGGUUGAGGAAUGUGGCUCUCUUCGGGGAGUGUUAUAGCCUCAGUCAUAAUGCCGCCAGUUGGGACCGAGGACCGCGCUUCGGCUAGGAUGCUGGCGUAAUGGUCUUAAGCGACCCGUCUUGAAACACGGACCAAGGAGUCUAACAUCUAUGCGAGUGUUCGGGUGGAAAACCCUUGCGCGUAAUUAAAGUGAACGGAGGUGGGAACCCCUCGGGGUGCACCAUCGACCGAUCCUGAUGUCUUCGGAAGGAUUUGAGUAAGAGCAUAGCUGUUGGGACCCGAAAGAUGGUGAACUAUGCCUGAAUAGGGUGAAGCCAGAGGAAACUCUGGUGGAGGCUCGCAGCGGUUCUGACGUGCAAAUCGAUCGUCAAAUUUGGGUAUGGGGGCGACAGACUAAUCAACCAUCUAGUAGCUGGUUCCUGC